AGGACGAACGCUGGCGGCGUAGCUUAACACAUGCAAGUCGAACGGAGGAUUAUUCGGUAGAUCCUUAGUGGCGAACGGGUGAGUAACGCGUGGGCAAUCUGCCCUUCAGAUGGGGACAACAUCCCGAAAGGGGUGCUAAUACCGAAUACGAUCCUUCCACCGCAUGGAGGGGGGAUGAAAGAUGGCCUCUAUAUAUAAGCUAUCGCUGAAGGAUGAGCCUGCGUCUGAUUAGCUUGUUGGUGGGGUAACGGCCUACCAAGGCGAUGAUCAGUAGCCGGUCUGAGAGGAUGAACGGCCACAUUGGGACUGAGACACGGCCCAAACUCCUACGGGAGGCAGCAGUGGGGAAUAUUCCGCAAUGGACGAAAGUCUGACGGAGCAACGCCGCGUGAGUGAUGAAGGUUUUCGGACUGUAAAGCUCUGUUGUUUGGGACGAAAGUGCCUGUUGCGAACAGUUACGGGUAUUGACGGUACUAAACGAGGAAGCCACGGCUAACUACGUGCCAGCCGCUGC
Molecule: ribosomal RNA, 514 nt
Filed under: uncultured bacterium
Lineage: Bacteria
Description: bacterial SSU rRNA
Rfam family: Bacterial small subunit ribosomal RNA
Source: RNAcentral